CUAGCUACUACAAUCAAGCAGCCCCCAGUGAACUUCAAAAGACAACAAUAUAAUUAGCAUAUAGGAUCUGCAGAUCCAAUGCCCCAUAAAAGGAGUCCCUCCAUUCUAUCUAUGAUUACAAGCAAUGAAAAGUUUUAACAUUCAGGUUAUCAACAACGUCAAAUGCCUUUUGCAUCACAUCAAACUAAUAAAAGUACUGCAGCGCCUUCUCUUUAUCUUAGUGUUUCAUUGUUCGUAUUCUGGAGGGAAACAGAGACACACACAUUAACAUGGAGCUAGGUGUAAGCCUUUAUGGGAAAAGGAUGAAAAUAAAAACUAUAAAAUCUACUUUUCAAGUAAUAGAUUUAAAACAAAAUGAAGGGUAUGAGUUAGUACGAUCUAGUAAAAAACAACCUGAUGAAAUAAAGGACUAAAAGCCCAAAUACACUAGUGAAACUUAUGAAAGGAUGUAAAAGGUAGAAAUAUAGAAGGGAUCAGAUAUUGAAAUAUUGCCUUUUGAAGCCUUUCAAAUUUCCCGUCACCUUCACCAAAAAAGAAAGGAAAAGAUGGAAACAUAGGCAUUAGUCCAAUACAUCUUGGAAAGAUGUGCUCAAGGAACGCCAGAGCAAAGGGAGCCAUUCACAGAAGUGCAGACAAGUCAAAAAAGAGCUUUAGGCAUAACAUCAUUUUUUUUAUUCGUCCAAUGAAGCUUUUGAACCUAAGACAUUAAUCAAACAUUACUUCU
RNAcentral lists this long non-coding RNA (724 nucleotides) under Gossypium barbadense (sea-island cotton). RNAcentral's name for it is "long non-coding RNA (GBAR_LNC009229)". Lineage: Eukaryota; Viridiplantae; Streptophyta; Magnoliopsida; Malvales; Malvaceae. The record is from RNAcentral.